Molecule: ribosomal RNA, 498 nt
Filed under: uncultured bacterium
Lineage: Bacteria
Description: partial 16S ribosomal RNA
Rfam family: Bacterial small subunit ribosomal RNA
Source: RNAcentral
GAUGAACGCUAGCGGCAGGCCUAAUACAUGCAAGUCGGACGGGAUUUGGGAGCUUGCUCCUAAUGAGAGUGGCGCACGGGUGCGUAACACGUAUGUAACCUACCUUAAUCAGGGGGAUAGCCUCUCGAAAGAGAGAUUAACACCGCAUAAUAUAUUUUUAUGGCAUCGUAGAAAUAUCAAAUAUUUAUAGGAUUAAGAUGGGCAUGCGGAACAUUAGCUAGUUGGUAAGGUAACGGCUUACCAAGGCUACGAUGUUUAGGGGAUCUGAGAGGGUGACCCCCCACACCGGUGCUGAGACACGGACCAGACUCCUACGGGAGGCAGCAGUAAGGAAUAUUGGUCAAUGGGGGCAAGCCUGAACCAGCCAUGCCGCGUGCAGGAAGACGGCCCUAUGGGUUGUAAACUGCUUUUGUACCGGAAUAAACCCUUUUACGUGUAAGAGGCUGAAUGUACGGUAAGAAUAAGGAUCGGCUAACUCCGUGCCAGCCGCCGCCGUAA